Long non-coding RNA from Sapajus apella (tufted capuchin), 108 nucleotides. RefSeq lists it as uncharacterized. Lineage: Eukaryota; Metazoa; Chordata; Mammalia; Primates; Cebidae. The record is from RefSeq and is a predicted model, not a curated record. The transcript has 3 exons.
CUUCUAGGCAGCAUACAAUUGGAUCAUGUUUUUAAUCUAUUCUAUCAAUCUCUGUCUUUUAAGGGGAGAGUUUAAUUCAUUUACAUUUAACAUGAUUGCUAAAAAGGA